AGUGCUGCCAUAGGAGAUCUUGGAAAAGCCCAGGCCGGGCUCCGUGGCUCACAUCUGUAAUCCCAGCACGGUGGGAGGCUGAGGCGGGUGGAUCACGAGGUCAGGAGUUUGAGACCAGCCUGGCCAAUAUGGUGAAAUCCCGUCUCUACUAAAAAUACAAAAAUUAGCCGGGCCCGGUGGCUGGCGCCUGUAAUCCCAGCUAUUCGGGAGCCUGGGGCAGGAGAAUCGCUUGAAUCCGGGAGGCGGAGGUUGCAGUGAGCUGAGAUCACGCCACUGCACUCCAGCCUGGGCGACAGAGUAAGACUCCGUCUCAAAAGAAAAAAAAAGAAAAGCCCCUCUUUCCAGGUGGACUUGACUGAGGUGAUGUGAAGCUGGAGCCGCUGCUGCCCUGUCAUCAUUAUGUAGAUCCUUAGAGUGAAGCCAACACACAGGGGCCAGUAAGAGAAGGGGUGGAGAAAGAUGGCUUGGUGACUUUGCUGGAGCCCCUGAAUCAGCCAUGCCUGAAGCAGCACAACACCCCUGGGCUUCUCAGUGAAUGGAUAUGACAGUAGCUAAAAGGAGAGGCUGGAAGAGAUUAUAGAAUUUUGUGGAGAAAAAUUCGUUCUUUUCCUGAGGGAAGGCCAAAGCCUGCAGUCAUGAUGGAGUUGGAGAAAGGUGUGAAGGGCCAGGCCAGGAGCCCAGGGAGAGGAGGCCUGAGAGAGGAGCCCUGUGGAAUGAAGCCUGUGAACAGCCCAUUUUCACUUCUGAAGCAGUUGGUCCCCCACAAAAAGAUUAUUUUCUCCAAAGCAGAUGAAAAUCCCCUUUCCCUCCGCCUGCUCCUGCAGCCUGUGGUCAUGGAGGCAAAGAAAUCACCCCUUCCUCUGCCACUUACCAGCUGUGGUCCUGUGCAAAUGUCUUAGCUUCUCUGAGCCUCUGUUUCCUUUCUGUAGAGUGAAAAUAAUUCAUUAUUUGUGAGAUUAUGUGAGGAUUAAGUAAUACUGUAUGUGGAAGGGCUGAACACAGUGCUUGGCACAAAGUGGGUGCAAUAAAAGAGAAUUCCCUUCUAGACUCC
RNAcentral lists this long non-coding RNA (1051 nucleotides) under Homo sapiens (human). Its description in RNAcentral is "novel transcript". Lineage: Eukaryota; Metazoa; Chordata; Mammalia; Primates; Hominidae. The record is from RNAcentral.